This 5573-nucleotide long non-coding RNA is filed under the name Brassica napus (rape). RNAcentral describes it as "long non-coding RNA (BNAP_LNC015216)". The record is from RNAcentral. Lineage: Eukaryota; Viridiplantae; Streptophyta; Magnoliopsida; Brassicales; Brassicaceae.
AUGGAAGAGAAUAACAAAGAGACUGAUGGAAGAAUAAGAAUGGUGUGAGAUUAAGAGACUUUGGGUGAGAGAUUGAGAGAUUAGAGAGAUUGAGAGAUUAGGUAACCAGAGAAUAGAGAUUGGGAGAUUCAAAGUAACCAAAGACUAUGAAGGAGAAGGGGAAAUCCCCCUAACUCUCUUAAGAGUUACAAAUCGCCAUAUACAUCUGUUUAUAUAGACUUUUACAAUCUGAGACAUCAUAAACCUAUAUCUAAUGGCUGUAAAUAACUUAAGAGGAAUGGAUGGUGUAGAUGAGCUAGUCUUGUUGCAAUCUGUGUAGUUGAAUCUGAUUGGCUGAAGCAGCUGGCGCCUAUCUUUAAUUCAAACCAGGGCUGUGCUGUGAUUGGCUCUCCUUAAGCUCCUCCUAAUCUGUCCACAGAUCAGUCUAGGUUCAUGGUCGUGGCUCCCCUUGCCUUUACAGUCAAAGCCAGCCUGUCCCAUGACCAAACUCUCCAAUCAUAUCACAGCACCUUAUCUUCUUUGUCUUCUUCUCUUAAGAGCUUCUUUUGUCUUCUUCUCUUAAGAGCUUGUUUUGUCUUCUUCUCUUAAGAGCUGACCUAUGCCCUAUUUUUGCACAAACUUCAUAACUUCUGAAAUGAUCGAGUUAUGAGCUUUCGGGUCGGGACAGGUCCGUACGGAUCCGUACGGUCCGUACACGUCCGUACCAAAUCCGUACGGCCUCGCCCUAAGUUUGCACACUCGACCACCUGCUCCCAAAGAUACUCCUAAGCCUCUCCUGACUUGGCCCUAUCUUUGCACAACCAUCAGAUCACUUCUGGACACUCUCAGACCCUCCUGAAGCCUUGGUAGACAAUCCCUGAAGGACUUGCCCUAUCUUUGCACAAGCACCAACUCAACUCAUCACCUUUGCUUCUCCACUUCUUCUCUUCAAGUUAACACUCCCCCUCAAGCUUGACCUUAGCUGAUCCUAAGUCAAGCUUGGAACCUUGAAGAAUCCCCUCAUUAAAAACCUUACAAGGAAAACCCUUUGGGACAAAACCUUGUAAGGGAAAAAGAGUAGGUUCAUCAAGGCCUGGGGAUUGGCCAGUGAGCCCUUGUGCCUUAGAACCAGUGUGGUUGGACACAAGAAGCUCUGGAUCACGGCCUAAUAGGUGCAACAACUCUUCACAGCUUUGCACACACUUCACACUUCAGCUUCACCUCUUCAUGGAACUGGUUUGAAGUCUCCCCCUCUCAACUGACUUCUCAGCCAUCUUAGAGAAGCUAGGACAUGACCAUAGUAUCUUCAAACACCAGUGAGCCUUAUCAACACUUCACACACGGCUUGCCCUCCUCAUAGACCUGGUUUGGAUCUCCCCCUCUCAACAAACUUCACAGCCACCUUAGAGAAGCUAGGAAAUGACCAGGAACACCUUUAGUGAGGCUCAAGCAAUGGUACCUAGACACGCCACUGACUUGGUCCGGUUGAUGAUCCUUGUAGAAGCCUUUGCAAAGACUUGUUACUGACCAUGGAUCAUAUGCAUUAAGACUCCCCCUCAAGCUUAGAACCGAGACUAGAAGGAGCUAAGCUUGUGAUGAUCCUAUGCAUCUCCAUGGUCUAAUAACUAUCAUCUUUCAUGAUAGAUUUCUUCUUGUGAGUUUACUCUCUUCCUUAACCAGGAACUAGGGUGUUUGAAUCACCAUAGAGAGUCUCACAAGACACACCUCUCAUUGCAUAAUGACCCAUGCUACACUUCCUGUAGACUAAGGACUAGAUAUGUCCAAUGGUAUUAUGCAAUGGCCAUCUCUCAUUGCAUACUCAAUCACACUACACUUCCUGUAGACUAAGGACUAGAUAUGUCCAAUGGUAUUAUGCAAUGGCCAUCUCUCAUUGCAUACUCAAUCACACUACACUUCCUGUAGAUUAUGGACUAACAUGUCCUGGUGAUGAUAUGCAAUGGCACAAGACCUUUGUCUUUACAUUCUUGGUUGUUGGCGAGUUACAUGUAUCACACUCCUUGUGUACCUAACACCACCACAACUCAAUGCAAGAUCAGAUAAUCCCAUUGGGAUCAAACUAAGAUCAUCCAUCCUGUUUGAUCACCAAUGCCACAACAAUAUAUAAAUCUUGAAACAAGCCAAUCAAUCAAAGCAAGAACAAUCAGUUUUAAAUCUCUAAAAUGACAAUGCAAGCUUUAAACAAUACAUUGACAAUUUAGGCUCAUUUUUAAAUGCAUCAAUACAUGAAUGCACAGUCUUAAAGCAUUAACUACAUGAAUGCAUCAGGUUCAAUCCGAGAGCAAUAUUAAAGCUAUGCACAACAGUUCCAAUCAAUACUAAUGAUGCAAGCAACUUAGACAGUUUCUAAUUGAUGCAAGACAAUCAAUGAUGGAUUAAACAUAGGCAAUAGCAUCAGACAACAAUAGGAUUGAACUUAGACAGUAUGAGACAUGCUUAUGUAUGCAAAACAGCUUAUCAAUCAUGAUGCAAGCAGCAGAGACAUUCUACUCAAUUCUACAACACAUUCAUGAUGAUUUCAAGCUAUGGCAAUACACAAGACAAUGCAAUGAACAGAACAUGAGAUUUUGGGACUCUAGACAUUACUUAAUAUCAAUAAGACAAUGCAGUAGCAAACUAUUUCCAGUGCAAUUAGCCUAGACCUUCUACUAGAAGACAUAUUAAAAAUAGAUGAGACUAGGUUUACUCCCUUGUUUAAGAUGGUGAGGAGUGGUCUCUUCAUUUCGCCACUUGAGUCCUCACUUGCUACGCUUAACAGCUUCUCCUUUCAUCACACAAGCUCACUAACACUCCUUCUCAAGCUUGAGACCGAGUAUAGGGAAGGUCCAAGCUUGAAGGUGAGCGCUUACUAAGCUUCAUGAACAACCUUGUGGGAACACCUCCAUCUUCUUCAGACUUGAUGCUUACUUCCCCACUUAACCACCAUUGCACUGAGGAGAUACCUCAGCUUACUCUCCAAGUACUUCUUAUUAGAAGCUCAUUGAGUGGCUUUCUUCUUCCCUCUACUUCGGCUGCAUCUACACAUGAUCAGCUUGCAAUGGCCUUGAGGAACCAGGUCAUUGAGCUUAGAGGAUCUUCUGGUAGCUCACUUGAGUCCACACCUCAAGCUUGACUUAGUAUAGGUGCAAGCUUGAAGUGAGUCUCAAUGAGACUUCAAACCGGGAGCGCAUCACUACCUACAGCUGCGCUUAACCCAACCGAUCUGCCAUUGCCUUCAGCUCCAAUGCCUUCAGGUCAUCAGUCUCCCCAAGACUUAGAUGAUGACCUUUACUUGUGUGUCUCCAUGAACCAGGAGCUCAUCACUAUUACUAGCUGCGCUAUCUCAACCGGCCAUACACACAAGUCUUUCUCCAUUGCUUUAACAAUGGCAAGGUCUUCCUCUUCUACUUGGAUGGAUGGUGAGCAAAGAACGCUUCUUGUGAACCUGAAACACCACUCAAACUCCAGCAAAGAUAAGACACAAUUGCAUUGGGAUCAAUCCUUGACUUCAUCAAGUUUGAUCACCAAUGUCUCAAGCUUUAUAACAUUAAAUAGAAUCAAGACACUGUCAAGUUCUUAUCUAUGCAAGCAACCAUUCUCUAAAUACUAAGCAAGACCUUAUCAGAUUCAAGUCAAAUUAUUAGGCAAUUUUAAUCACUCCUUAAUAUGCUACUUAGACUUUAAUCUAAAUGCAACAAUACAAGGCAGCAACAAGGCAGUAUGCAUUAAUCUUAACCAGUUUCUACUCAUAACAGCAAGUAUGAUUAGAUAAUAUAAUCUAUCAUCUUAACAAGACAAGUUUCAUUUAGAACUGAAGAAACCGUAACAAGGUAGAAGUUACCUUAAGGGCUUAGUGAAGGGAUAAGACUGGUAGGAGGAUAAGGGACGCGCGUGCCAGGCUGGAACAGGCUGGAAAGUAGUCCAAGAUGCCAUAAGCAUGUGAGCCAUCCUGGCCAAUCAUUCAAAAGGCUCCCAUUGACUCCACACGGUUAAACAGUGGCGAUUUCCCUUCUUGUAAACCCUUGUGUCUCCCUUAUAAAUAUGUAACCUCACUCAUUAAUAAAUUAAGCAAGUUUUGAGACUCUCUCUUAGUCUUUAAAUCUCAAUGGUUCCAUAUUAGACUCCUAAUCUCAUUCCAUACUCUAAUCUUCACCAAAUCGUUUCUAGUCUUUCCUAAACACUCAGAUUACUCUAAACAUUACUAAAAAUCAUAAUAGGAGUUGGCAUGAAGAAGUUAUCUAUAAUAUUUAGAGAUCCUUAGAGUGAUUAGAAUAUAAGUGAGAGUUUAAGUAGAGAUUAGAAGAGAUUGUGAACGAUUAAGAGACUUGAGAGCCGAUUAGUGUCUAAGAGAGAAUCAUUGUGACUUAAGAGAUUAGAGAGACUCAGAACUGCUUAAUCUUAUUGCUGAGUGAGGUUACAUAUUUAUAAGAGAGACAUAAGGGUUUACAAGAGAAGAAAGGAGCACUAUUGAAGCAUGUGGAGUCAAGGGUCGCUUUUGAAUGGACGGAUGGGAAGCCUUACAUGCUUUGGCUCUUUACAGCCUGUCACAGCCUGUCUUGCUCUUCCCUUAUCCACUCAACGGUCUGAUCCUCUCCACUUGUGAGAUUUUCAGAGCACAGGUUGUGUGGGCGUGGUGAAUCAACCUCCACAGGUUGGGACUGAGUCUUGUUCAACAAUGGAAGAGAAUAACAAAGAGACUGAUGGAAGAAUAAGAAUGGUGUGAGAUUAAGAGACUUUGGGUGAGAGACUGAGAGAUUAGAGAGAUUGAGAGAUUAGGUAACCAGAGAAUAGAGAUUGGGAGAUUCAAAGUAACCAAAGACUAUGAAGGAGAAGGGGAAAUCCCCCUAACUCUCUUAAGAGUUACAAAUCGCCAUAUACAUCUGUUUAUAUAGACUUUUACAAUCUGAGACAUCAUAAACCUAUAUCUAAUGGCUGUAAAUAACUUAAGAGGAAUGGAUGGUGUAGAUGAGCUGGUCUUGUUGCAAUCUGUGUAGUUGAAUCUGAUUGGCUGAAGCAGCUGGCGCCUAUCUUUAAUUCAAACCAGGGCUGUGCUGUGAUUGGCUUUCCUUAAGCUCCUCCUAAUCUGUCCACAGAUCAGUCUAGGUUCAUGGUCGUGGCUCCCCUUGCCUUUACAGUCAAAGCCAGCCUGUCCCAUGACCAAACUCUCCAAUCAUAUCACAGCACCUUAUCUUCUUUGUCUUCUUCUCUUAAGAGCUUCUUUUGUCUUCUUCUCUUAAGAGCUUGUUUUGUCUUCUUCUCUUAAGAGCUGACCUAUGCCCUAUUUUUGCACAAACUUCAUAACUUCUGAAAUGAUCGAGUUAUGAGCUUUCGGGUCGGGACAGGUCCGUACGGAUCCGUACGGUCCGUACACGUCCGUACCAAAUCCGUACGGCCUCGCCCUAAGUUUGCACACUCGACCACCUGCUCCCAAAGAUACUCCUAAGCCUCUCCUGACUUGGCCCUAUCUUUGCACAACCAUUAGAUCACUUCUGGACACUCUCAGACCCUCCUGAAGCCUUAGUAGACAAUCCCUGAAGGACUUGCCCUAUCUUUGCACAAGCACCAACUCAACUCAUCACCUUUGCUUCUCCACUUCU